Molecule: long non-coding RNA, 736 nt
Organism: Panthera uncia (snow leopard)
Lineage: Eukaryota; Metazoa; Chordata; Mammalia; Carnivora; Felidae
Exons: 6
Source: RefSeq, a predicted model, not a curated record
CAUACUCGAGGAAAAAGACCCGCCAAGGGGAAUUAUUACCACCUCCCACCCCCCGGCCUAAACUCAAUAGCUAGAAUAAGGCCAUGGAUUCAUUUAUCAGUACUAGAAACUUCGCACAUCUUUACCAGUCUACCAACUACAAAUUCACAGGUUUCGAGAGGAGGGACAGGAGGAGCCGAAGGAGAAGGUACCCGAGAAAACGACACGUUAUCUGGCUCAAGGGGCCUCGGCACUGGGCGAAGACUGGCGCACGGGAGGCGUCGCGGAACAGGCCGGCCUUUCAACUUGGACUUUCAUCACCAGCUUUCCGGGUUCUCUAGCCUGCAGAUAGCUGAUCAAGGGACUUCGUGGCCUCCAUAACAGUGUCCCAAUAUAGGCUUCAGGCUGAGUCUGGUUCAAGUUAACUCCCCAUGUCUCUUACGCCGAGAUCAGCAACUUCUCACAGCGGAUGGCUGAGGUCCAAGAAGCCAAACCAAGUCAAGCCAGACCUUGGAGGAAGUGAAGGAGCAGUAACCCAAUCUCCUACAGGGCCCAUCAAGGCUGUUUGGAGGCACAAGUGAGUUACCAUGGAAACAUCUUGAAUGAGAAGCUUAAAAUCUCAAAGGUAGCUUGCCUGAGGAAACUUACAUGUGUGCACGGUGAAACAUACAGGAUCUUCUCUGACACUCGUUUGUUGUGUGAAAGCCUAGAAAGAAUCUAAAUAUCCAUCAAUGGAGGAAGUGUUAAAUAAACUCUG